This is a long non-coding RNA of Anguilla anguilla (European eel), 673 nucleotides long. RefSeq lists it as uncharacterized. The transcript is spliced from 2 exons. NCBI's taxonomy places the organism in Eukaryota, Metazoa, Chordata, Actinopteri, Anguilliformes, Anguillidae. The record is from RefSeq and is a predicted model, not a curated record.
UUUACCCUUAGACCCCAGAGUGUUGUGUUUCUAGCACCUUCUAUAGGCUAUUAUGUGAAUGCCAUUUUUCCUGUUAUUUCAGAUGUUUGCCUUCUCAUUGGUUGUUUAAAGUCACAUUGAUUGCUAGUCACAUUAUAAGAGCAGCCAUUUUCCCUCUUUCCCCGUUUGAUCCAGAAGGAGGCAGUAAUGCAAUUAAAAAGGAUGCCAACUGCUGUAAAACACCAAAGAAGAAGAAUUUUCACUGUAACACAAGCUAAAGAACAGCAUGAUUCAAGACCUCCUUUAAUCUUGUUCCAUCUGCCUGUGUGAUCCUUGGGGAAGCUUUGUUUAAGGAGGCAGUAAUGCAAUUAAAAAGGAUGCCAACAGCUGUAAAACACCAAAGAAGAAGAAUUUUCACUGUAGCACAAGCUAAAGAACAGCAUGAUUCAAGACCUCCUUUAAUCUUGUUCCAUCUGCCUGUGUGAUCCUUGGGGAAGCUUUGUUUGUGAGUAGAUUAAUUCAUCAAUGUUUUUAGGAAUUAUUUCUGCUCAUACUUCAUUGUAUUUCAUAAUAUUUGUUUACAUUAUUUCAUAGUCACUUAUGAAUUAUUUGCAGUUUCACACUACAACAACUUGACCACAUGAAAGUGCUGUAUUUUCAUUAAACGGACGUACAAGUGCACGUUGAUAACUUA